UUCACAACAACCCAUGUAAAUAGAUAAAAGAGGAAAAGGUACAUAGUUGGCUUACACUCGCCACAUCACACAAAUACAUGAAUAACAUUACAUUCAUCCAAUACACUCAUGGUCCGACUACGGUACCAAAAUAAAAGAUCAACCCCAACAUGCGACACGGUCCCCGAUCGCCCCAACUGGGCACCACUACUGAUCAUCUGGGAAAGACACAUAGUAACGGCGAGAGUCUUCAUCGAACUCCCACUUGAGCUCAAGCGCAUCAUCUGGAACGGUAUCAUCGGUCCCUGCAUCUGGUUUGGAAGUAAUCUGUGAGUCACGGGGACUCAGCAAUCUCGCACCCUCGCGAUCAAGACUAUUUAAGCUUAUAGGUAAGGCAAGGUGAUAUGUGGAGCUGCAGCAAGCGACUAGCAUAUAUGGUGGCUAACCUGUUCGCAAAAGAGAGCGAGAAGAGAAGGCAAAGCACGAACGAAGAACUAUGAUCAAGAAGUGAUCCUAGAAUAACCUACGUCAAGCAUUACUCCAACACCAUGUUCACUUCCCGGACUCCGCCGAGAAGAGACCAUCACGGUUACACACGCGGUUGAUUCAUUUUAAUUAAGUUAAGUUUCAAGUUAUCUACAACCGGACAUUAACAAAUUCCCAUCUGCCCAUAACCGCAGGCACGGGUUUCGAAAGUUCAAAUCCCUGCAGGGGAGUCCCAACUUAGCCCAUCACAAGCUCUCACGGUCAACGAAGGAUAUUCCUUCUCCCGAGACAUUCCGAUCAGACUUGGCAUCUCGGUUUUACAAGACAUCCUCAACAAUGGUAAAACAAGUCCAGCAACACCGCCCGAAUGUGCCGACAAAUCCCGAUAGGAGCUGCACAUAUCUCGUUCUCAGGGCACACUCAGAUGAGACUAGCUACGAGUAAAACCAACCCUCAAGUUUCCCCGAGGUGGCCCCGCAGGCAGCUCAGUCGGACCAACACUCAGAGGAGCACUGGCCCAGGGGGGUUUAAAUAAGAUGACCCUCGGGCUCCGGAAACCCAAGGGAAAAAGAGGCUUGGUGGCAAAUGGUAAAACCAAGGUUGGGCAUUGCUGGAGGAGUUUUAUUCAAGGCGAACUAUCAAGGGGUUCCCAUUAUAACCCAACCACGUAAGGAACGCAAAAUCCGGGAACAUAACACUGAUAUGACGGAAAACUAGGGCGGCAAGAGUGGAACAAAACACUAGGCAAAAGGCCAAGACUUCCACCCUUUACCAAGUAUAUAGGUGCAUUAAGAUAAACAAGAUAAUAUGGUGAUAUCCCAACAAUAAACAAUGUUCCAAACAAGGAACGAUCUCCAAUCUUCACCUGCAACUAGCAACGCUAUAAGAGGGGCUGAGCAAAGCGGUAACAUAGUCAAUCAACGGUUUGCUAGGACAUGGUGGGUUAGAGGUUUGACAUGGAAAUUUGGGAGGCAUGAUAAGCAAGUAGUAGGCAUCGUAGCAUAGGCAUAGCAAAAGAGCGAGCAUCUAGCAAGCAAAGAUAGAAGUGAUUUCGAGGGUAUGAUGCCUGCAAAGUUGUCAGAGUUGACUUGAUCCUCGUAAGCGAACUCAACGGGCUCCUCGUUAGUGAAAUCGUCUCCCGGCUCUACCCAAACAAGACAAACAAGCAAAAGGAACACGAUCAACCACGUGCGAAGCUCAAACAACCUGAUGCAAACAUGGUAUGCUAUGCGGGAUGCGAUAUGUGAUGCAUAUGCAAGAUUUGAUAAGCAAUGAUUAAACCUGGCCUCAACAUGGAAAUCCAAGAGUGCCACUGGAAAGGUGAGGUGAUUUCGGUUGAAAUCGAUAUAAAGAUCACCGGAAUCGGAUGCACGGUUUGGAAAUGGCAAGCAAAACAAAUAUGGCACCGGUCUGCGAUAAACAGCAAGUGACCAACUAAAUGCAUCAAGAUAAAUAUGCUACAGCACUCAAACGUGACAACAACAUGCAUGGCAGGGAUCCACUCAUGAUGCUUGACAAAAGAUGAACACUGAGAUACGGCUAAUUCAUCCAUUAACAGGUUCAAACAAGCAUGGCAAAAGUGCAAAUGAUAACAGGUUUCAGACUUAGUGAAAUUAACACAAGUUUGGAAUUUAACAUCAGGAAGCACACUUUAGAGCAUGAAAACUACAUGCUACAGGAACUUAACAUGGCAAAGCAAGGCAUGACAUGAAGCUACUCAAAGCACUUAACAAAAGUCCCUUACAGACCUUGAGCCAAAAGGGAUCAGAAAAUAUCAUUGCAAGAAUGUGAACAUGGCAAAAACAUAAACAGAUCUCAGACUUAGUGAAAUUCCAGGACAUGACAAAAACAGAUUCAACAUGGCAUCUUUUACAAGCUUGAUUAACUCACUACAAGGCAUGUCAUGGCAUGGGACAAGUUCUAGCAUGAAGUAUACAUGAAAAUGAAGCUAACCAUGUGCCAAACCACCUCAUAGCAUGUUUGAAAAAAAUCACACAAAAAUGCCAAAACAACAUCAUGAUGUAAAAUGACAUGCUUAUGAACUUGCUCAAAUGCAGAAACUAAUGCCACCACUGGGUUGGUGGGAUUUUUCUACCCCAAAAACAUAUAUAAUAUGUUGGGGUUGCUGUAGAAAAAUCACCACAAAUGCAAUAAGUCAAACACUGCCUAAAAAGGUAGCUGACAGAAAUGGCAUUUUCCUUAUUUGGAAACGUCCAGAAAUGGACUUGCCUGAACUGGAAUAAGGUAUGUUUCCCAAAAUGGAAAGCGCUGGAAUAAAGAAAAAAAUAAAAGAAAUAAGAGGAGGGGGUGAGGACGACAUGUGGUGCCUUGAGGAGUGUUAGUAUGGCAGGUGGGGCCUUGCUGUCAUACUCACGCAUAAUGCAAAAAAAAGGGGGGUUUUAAACCGCACCAGGGGAGGAUCGAACCCAGGUUUCCUUGGAGUUAGAGCGUGGCCUUUGCCACUGGGCCAGGCGCUCAAAGUUGGAAUAACGAAGACCGGACAUCUUAUGUACUAGCACGAGGUCUGGCUAGUCUCCUCUACGCGUACAGAAAAGAAAACGACGACGAUGCCGGCGAGCGAGGCGGCCUUAUCCGGCGAGGUGGUGUGCCGGCGGGGGUGCGGACACGGAGGGGUGUUUAGCGCGUGCAUGCGGAGCUGCUGCGAGAGUGCGCGCGUUGGGUUCAACUCGAGCACGAGCUCAUGGCGAGCUUGGCUUGGUACCGCCGGUGCAGAGGCUGAGUGAGCGACCUCUGAAGCUGGCGAGGUGAGGCGAGGCGAGCGGGCUGCGAGCGUGCACACAGGCAAGCGUGGCGAGGAGAACGCAACUAGGUGGGAACCGGAGCACGGGGACGCGCGGGCGCGCUGCAGCAAGUACACACAACAAAACUGCAGACCUCGCGCGGAGCACUGUGAGCACAGCAAAGACACGGAUCGAUCGAGCCUCACGGGGUCCUAUAUGCCAUGGAAAGAAAAGGGAGAGGUUGGUGCGUUACCCAGCUCACCC
This 3470-nucleotide long non-coding RNA is filed under the name Triticum aestivum (bread wheat). Its description in RNAcentral is "long non-coding RNA (TAES_LNC014391)". The record is from RNAcentral. Lineage: Eukaryota; Viridiplantae; Streptophyta; Magnoliopsida; Poales; Poaceae.